GCAAGGCUCAGCUGUGGUGUCAUGAUAUGAACCCAAGCGUUGGGAUCGGACCCAAGUGGGAGCCUCGGUUGUGGCAGAUGGUAUGUUUCCAAAGAAGAUGGAGCCUCAUGUCCCACCCACAGACUCUUCUGCAGUGGAAACUGGCCACUCCCCCAACAAGAGGUGAGAAUGGCCCUGCAGCCUCCACUGGUCCUGCUGGGAAGCUCAUUCUCUGGAUGCUCACUCCUGGGACACUCCUUCUUGGGACCCAGCCACCAUGCUGGGAGAAGCCUUAGACAUAUGAAAAGGCCACAUAUGGAUGCUCUGGGUGACAGUGGUCCCAGUCCAGAUACCAACAUGUAAGUGAACAAGCCUCCAUAUGACUCCAGCCCCUAAGCCUUUCGAGUGUUCCCAGUUAAGGCUCCAGAUAUUGUAGAGCAGAGCAAAGCCAUGUCCAGGCCUGUGUCCUUUUGUGCAGCAAGAGAUUCUGGGAACACAGGGCUCUGCAAAGUGCACAACACAAAGACUUGUUCAUUCAACAGGGGAAGGACUCGGCCUUAUUAGUGGUAUCCCAAGCCCAGUGGGGCCCCUAGCUGAGGGGGCGCUGCAAAGUGGGAUCGAAGGGCUCAGUCAGGGCAGGAAAUCAAAGUGGUGGUGGUCUGUUGCUGCCUGUGUGGCCCCAGUCCUGGGGACUUGUGCAUGGAGAAGUUUGGGAUCUCCAAGUGUACUUUGACUACAGAACCCCCGACAGCCACACAGAAGCCUACAGGCCUAGGCCCCAAGUGAAUGAACACUGUGGCCACUCCCACCCCACCCCCAUCCUCCAAGAAGAAAAAGAGAAGGAGCGAAAAAGGCAGAGAGGGUACACUCUGACACUCCCUGCUGGAGAGUAGGAUGGUGGAAAUGGGGAAUAAA
This 894-nucleotide long non-coding RNA is filed under the name Homo sapiens (human). Its description in RNAcentral is "HSALNT0305691". The record is from RNAcentral. Lineage: Eukaryota; Metazoa; Chordata; Mammalia; Primates; Hominidae.